Nymphalis io (European peacock) is the source of this 3038-nucleotide RNA transcript. It is a transcript of the gene named spermine synthase, with no coding region annotated. The record is from RefSeq and is a predicted model, not a curated record. The transcript is spliced from 8 exons. Lineage: Eukaryota; Metazoa; Arthropoda; Insecta; Lepidoptera; Nymphalidae.
UUUACAUCGCUGCAAACUACUUAUCAUAGCUUUUUGCCGGUCUCCGUCCAAUUUCUAAUAAUUAACCAAAAGUAUAAUUCCAAUAUAUUACAAAUAUGUCGGUUCAAACUAUUUUGUUGGAUUUUUCUAUGGAUGCUGCUCGUUUAGGGGAUGAAAGUGGACAGAAAGCUGUAUUUAGCCAGUUGGAGUCUGUGCUUAAGGAUUACGUACCCAAUCUGAUCUUAGCCGCUGAUAUUAAAAUAGAUGGAGGAUCAUUAAAAUUAUUGACAGGAAAGAAGGGUACGACUGUGACCGUGAGAUUAUUUGAUCGUGGUCUUGUCACAGUGAAUAUUGAAUAUUAUAAAGAAGACAACGAGGAACCAUUAAUCAGUUUCAAGUCGGCGAAAGUAUUGGAAAAUCAGCUGAGAAAGUACAUAACAGUCUUAAAAUCUCAAGCAUAUCCUGCUAUAAAACGAUGCCUAUUCGGCAGAUAUUAUCCAACGUCAGAUGAAAGAUUACUUGAAUAUGAUAUAGAUGGUGUGGUGUUUGAUGAGCAAUCAUCAUUCCAAAAGAUUCAAAUUGUUCACUCCAAGUCUUUUGGUAAUAUGCUGGUGCUUGAUGAUUUACAGAAUAUAUCGGAGGCUGAUCUUAUUUAUACAGAAACUUUGAUGCAACGAGGCAAAGAGAACUACGAGGGAAAGGAAAUCGUUAUUUUAGGGGGCGGCGAUGGAGCGCUACUGUACGAGCUUUUGAAAGAGAAACCAAAGUAUGUUUGGAUGUUGGAAAUAGACGAGCUUGUUAUGAAGGCUUGUAACAAACACCUCAAGUCUAUCUGUGGAGAUGUAUUGGAAAGAAGAAAGGGACCCAAUUUUGAGAUAAUCGUAGAAGAUUGCAUGUUGACCGUGAAGAAAUUCACAAGCGAGAAUAAAAAGGUCGACUACGUGUUCGGCGACCUCACCGACAUACCGAUAUCCGAUUCUGCGUGCGGAGAGCUGUGGGAGUUCAUGAUGACCAUCCUGCGGGCCUCUUUCGACAUACUGCGGCCCACCGGCAAGUUUAUGACGCACGGAAAUGGUGCGACGUCGCCCGAUUCGUUAAAGCUAUACGAAGAGGUAUUGGUUAAAAUGAAGCCGGCGGUGACGUUCUCGAAAUGCAAGGCCUUCGUCCCCUCCUUCCUGGAAGACUGGAUCUUUUAUCAAAUAGCGUUUAAAAAUCAAAACGGCGACGAUGAAUGACCAAAGAAUUAUAUUGUUCCUUUAAACUAAGCUACGUCAUAAGUUCCAAAUGCUAGAUCUAGUUGACCCUUGGUCAUGUAAUUGUAAUGUAAUUCAAAUAUACUAGGAAUCGAGAGAAGAAACAAAUUACUAAGAUUAUUAAUAAUAAAAAUGCUACGAACCCGACUGCGGUAUAUUUGUGUGCCCAAAAUAUGAAAUGCUCGUAACGCUAUGAUAGUUUAAUUGAAUUAAUAAAAUAUCAACGUUAUUGUGUUUAACUAUCUCCAUUUUGUGUUUCGUUUAAUAAUAACUUUUUGUUUUAUUAACAACAAGUACUUUUGCGAUUGUACCGCAGUCGGUUUCAUAAGUUAGGCUAUUGCCUCCCAUAUCGAUAAUAGUUUUCUAAACAUAGUUAAAACUUAAUACGCUUUACCUGACUACAUACUGUGUCAAUUUCGAUUCGAAUUUCGUAUUGAUCGAGCUAAACACUAUCUGUAUUGUAUGUACAAAAUAUGAUCCAAAGCGGCGGUUUCAAAUUUAACCCUUACCAUGUUGUAAGUAAAAAAUAAGUCUCGCAUUAACAUUUUCAAGUAUUAUAUUUAGACGGGUAUUAGUUUACGAUGUUAUCAAUAUUGAUUGUACAAAAAUAAAACAAUACAAUGCAACCGUGACAAUUUCAGUUAAAUUGAAAUCUUUAACAAAAUGUCUCGUCACAAUAUGAGGACCUACUAUCGUAUUAUAAGGAACAUUCACUAACGAUUACGUUUUUUUGUAUUGAAUGAGGUGAGCACGGGUGUGCUACGGAAUUUAAAAUAGUUUUAAUAUUUCAUUAUCAUUUAGAUUAUGUAUUCGUUUUGUGUUCAUUAUAUACUAAAUAUUUUAUAAAUGGUUUUAAUAAAAGUAACUUGCAUAAAAUCUUUAAAUAACUCGAGAGACAAAUAUCAUCGGAAUGUGAUGAUGGUGCAAAGGGAUUGAAUGUAGAAACGCCAAAAUAAAAACACGUGAUUUAUGGUUGUUCCCGUAAUAUGUGUUUUUUUAAUACUUAUUAUUUGUGAUUAUGGCAUUAGAAGUGUAAGGCUGCAUUUAUACAACGCAAAAAAUCUCAUGACUGUCCUCAGCAUCGACCGUUCCAGCAGUAAUUCCAAUAGGAAUUUGUUUCAUAAAUCAGCCUGGCGAUUUAAUCACAGAAGAUUUCACUUUUGCAAAAUUUUCACAUUGUGCAACUGCAGCCUAAAGAGAAUCACAACAAAGUAUUGUUUUUGUAUUAUUUUGGUAGUGGUGAGAUGUGUUACUAAUAGGAAGAACAAUUGUCUCGAUAGUAAUUGUCUUUCGCUUAUAAUAUUUCUUAAUGUGCUAUUAUUAUUGUGAAUAUUUUUAAAUACGACUAUAGUAAGUUGUGAUUUAAAAUGAUUUUUUUAAAAUCAAUAUAACAGAGUUACUUUUUAAUAUGACUGGGUUAUAUUUAUAGAUGAACGUAACAACUUUAACAAUAAAGUUGAUGCAACGAUCGCUCUUCAUCGAGCCUAGUUUCGAGUUUUUUUUACAUAAUUGAUAAUGUUGAAGUUAACUGGGAUAUGAAAACAGCGCCGUCUAGUGAAGACAACUGACAAUAAUUGGAAUGCCAUACAAAUUGCAAUUAAAGUCAACUCUAUCGAAUAAGUAAUAAAACUCCCACUAGGCUCGAUAUAAUUUGGUUAUUAUUAUUGACUAUUAACUUUCGUACAAUAUGCUAUUAAUUGAGUGACUAGUUGUUUUUGAAUUAUUUUUAGUGCACUGUGCAAGUUACUAUUAAGGCCAUUUAUCGAUUAUUCGUACUUGUUUCUUUGUUUUAUUAAUAAAGUAUUU